Molecule: ribosomal RNA, 253 nt
Filed under: uncultured bacterium
Lineage: Bacteria
Description: partial 16S ribosomal RNA
Rfam family: Bacterial small subunit ribosomal RNA
Source: RNAcentral
AACGUAGGAGACAAACGUUAUCCGGAGUUACUGGGCGUAAAGGGCGUGUAGGCGGUUAGUUAAGUCUGGCGUGAAAGCUCUCGGCUAAACCGGGAGAGGUCGUUGGAUACUGGCUGACUAGAGGACGGUAGAGGCGUGUGGAAUUCCGGGUGUAGUGGUGAAAUGCGUAGAGAUCCGGAGGAACACCAGUGGCGAAGGCGACACGCUGGGCCGAUAUUGACGCUGAGGAGCGAAAGCGUGGGGAGCGAACAGG